Molecule: long non-coding RNA, 562 nt
Organism: Homo sapiens (human)
Lineage: Eukaryota; Metazoa; Chordata; Mammalia; Primates; Hominidae
Source: Ensembl
GUCACAUGGAGUGACAGGCCGGCGGAAGGCGCUUUAGUCGUCGCCCAGCGUUCUCCAAGGUGUAAGGAGGCAGGAUCUUCCCAUACUGGCGGCGCAGGGGGCCUCACGGCUGCGGACGCCCGCCCUGGAUCUCUCAGCUCGGCAGAUCCUUUGGGUGGAGAGGCGCUCUCCAGGGUCGCGGCGAAGGAGAGCGGCUUCUCGGCACGUCCCUCCGUAUUUCUUCUAGAUCAGCUCCGGCCCCACCGUCCAGGAGAGGGCCCGCCUGAGGACCUCUGUCUGUGCCGCGCGUGGUCAGCCCCGGUCCCCUCACUCCAUGGCUGGCCCCUAGCCCUUCAGAGCGGACACCUCUCCUUAGGGAUGCAGGGCGAGGAAGGGCGGGUGGAGCUGCGAACCCACGGGGACCUGGAGGACCUCUUGGCCCCCUGGAGAGGGGUACUAUGAGAGGGAUUCAUGGGACACAGAUUUGGGGGACUGGGUAAUUUUACCCCCUUUGGCAACCAUAAAAACCCUGAGCAAACGUGUCCAUUCGCUAUUUCGCAGAAAUAUACAAUGCAGGCCCACA